Molecule: transfer RNA, 73 nt
Filed under: Perkinsus olseni
Lineage: Eukaryota; Perkinsozoa; Perkinsida; Perkinsidae
Description: tRNA-Cys
Rfam family: tRNA
About the family: Transfer RNA (tRNA) molecules are approximately 80 nucleotides in length. Their secondary structure includes four short double-helical elements and three loops (D, anti-codon, and T loops). Further hydrogen bonds mediate the characteristic L-shaped molecular structure. tRNAs have two regions of fundamental functional importance: the anti-codon, which is responsible for specific mRNA codon recognition, and the 3' end, to which the tRNAs corresponding amino acid is attached (by aminoacyl-tRNA synthetases). tRNAs cope with the degeneracy of the genetic code in two manners: having more than one tRNA (with a specific anti-codon) for a particular amino acid; and 'wobble' base-pairing, i.e. permitting non-standard base-pairing at the 3rd anti-codon position.
Source: RNAcentral
GGGUGUGUAGCUCAGUGGUAGAGCGGCUGACUGCAGAUCAGCAGGACCUCGGAACAAAUCCGGGCGCGCACCU